This 778-nucleotide ribosomal RNA is filed under the name uncultured Synergistaceae bacterium. Its description in RNAcentral is "bacterial SSU rRNA". It matches the Rfam family "Bacterial small subunit ribosomal RNA", at positions 9 to 795 of the family's 1533-position model. Lineage: Bacteria; Thermotogati; Synergistota; Synergistia; Synergistales; Synergistaceae. The record is from RNAcentral.
GAGUUUGAUUAUGGCUCAGGACGAACGCCGGCGGCGCGCUUAACACAUGCAAGUCGUGCGAUACCCUCGAGCAAGUCUUACGACAAGCUCAAGGUGUAGCGGCGGACGGGUGAGUAACACGUGAGUAGCUGUCCUAAGGAGGGGGAUAACGCCUGGAAAACGGGGUGCUAAAACCCCAUAUGCCUCGCAAGAGGUGAAAGUGUAGCUUGCUACAGCCUUAGGGUGUGCUCGCGGCCUAUCAGCUAGUUGGUGAGGUAACGGCUCACCAAGGCUAAGACGGGUAGCCGGCCUGAGAGGGUGUACGGCCACACUGGAAUUGAGAUACGGUCCAGACUCCUACGGGAGGCAGCAGUGGGGAAUCUUGGGCAAUGGGCGAAAGCCUGACCCAGCGACGCCGCGUUGGGGAUGAAGCCCUUCGGGGUGUAAACCCAUGUUGUAGGGGACGAAGAAAGUGACGGUACCCUACGAGGAAGCCCCGGCUAACUACGUGCCAGCAGCCGCGGUAAGACGUAGGGGGCGAGCGUUGUCCGGAAUUACUGGGCGUAAAGGGCACGCAGGCGGUGCGCCAAGUCGAGGGUGUAAAGUUACGGCUCAACCGUGACAUUGCAAUCGAUACUGGCGCACUGGAGUGCGGGAGAGGGAAGUGGAAUUCCCGGUGUAGCGGUGAAAUGCGUAGAUAUCGGGAGGAACGCCAGUGGCGAAGGCGGCUUCCUGGCCCGCGACUGACGCUCAUGUGCGAAAGCCAGGGGAGCGAACCGGAUUAGAUACCCUGGUAGUC